GACGAACGCUGGCGGCGUGCUUAACACAUGCAAGUCGAACGGAAAGGCCCUGCUUUUGUGUGGUGCUCGAGUGGCGAACGGGGGAGUAACACGUGAGUAACCUGUCCUUGACUUUGGGAUAACUUCAGGAAACUGGGGCUAAUACCGGAUAUGAGCUCCUGCUGCAUGGGGGUGGUUGGAAAGUUUCGGCGGUUGUGGAUGGACUCGCGGCUUAUCAGCUUGUUUGUGUGGUAGUGGCUUACCAAGGCUUUGACGGGUAGCCGGCCUGAGAGGGUGACCGGCGACAUUGGGACUGAGAUACGGCCCAGACUCCUACGGGAGGCAGCAGUGGGGAAUAUUGCACAAUGGGCGGAAGCCUGAUGCAGAAACGCCGCGUGCGGGAUGACGGCCUUCGGGUUGUAAACCGCUUUCGCCUGUGACGAAGCGUGAGUGACGGUAAUGGGUAAAGAAGCACCGGCUAACUACGUG
This 468-nucleotide ribosomal RNA is filed under the name uncultured bacterium. Its description in RNAcentral is "partial 16S ribosomal RNA". It matches the Rfam family "Bacterial small subunit ribosomal RNA", at positions 28 to 507 of the family's 1533-position model. The record is from RNAcentral.